Molecule: long non-coding RNA, 1339 nt
Filed under: Triticum aestivum (bread wheat)
Lineage: Eukaryota; Viridiplantae; Streptophyta; Magnoliopsida; Poales; Poaceae
Description: long non-coding RNA (TAES_LNC023665)
Source: RNAcentral
GAAUGAAAAACAACUAGCAUUACAAAAUGAAUUGAACAACCAUAAUCCAUACAUUGAGCAUCAUGAUCUCGAUUCCAUUGCGCAGCUAAAUUCAGAAGCAAGCAUCCAACAAGACUCAUACAUGAACUAACUACAAAUCACUCCCCAUAAAUCAUAACUCAUAACCAAUUGUACAGCAACCUUCAAAUUAGUAACAACAUGCUCCAAGCUGGAUAGAUCAUCAUCCAUUCAUAACCGUACACUACUUAAGAACAGCAUCAACUACCUGUCUGAAUGUUCUGAACCCCAAGGGGACGUCAAUACACGUAUGACAGCAUCACUCCUAAUCGCUCAACAACAAAUAUUCAGCAAUGCAUACUAAUUUGAUUGAUUUAGGGAAACACACCUCUUAGCCCAACCAGGUGCCUGUAGGACUGUAGGAACUUCAUCUUCCCGGUGGACAUCUCGGACACCAGCGGCGACGCCUUUCAUCUCACACCUUUUGCCAUGUCUUCCUCACAACCUGCUUGUCCGCGCUCAUGGCUAGUCCCGCCGAUUGCUCGGCAGCCGGUACCAAACGAACCACUGUGAACGCUGCCGGUUCCAUCGGGGUUGCACUCUCAUCCAAUUCCUCCAGAAAGGGGAAUCUGCAACCCUCCAUUGCAAGAAAAAAAAGCAAGCAAUCAACAAAUCGCGAAUUAAAACACCAUGCUUCUAAAAACGAUACUGAUGUUACCUGCUCAUGGGUCGCAUCAGCAACUCCAUCACCGCCAAUGGAGUCGCCCCUCUCCACCCCUGUCGUCUCAGCAAUUCGACCCUUUUGACCAAAAACGAGUAAUAGAUCCUCAAAGUAUCAACCUAACCGAAAUUAAUUCUCUCCAUCUACACAAACCUGAAAGCGAACCUCCUGUGCCUUGGAUCAGCUUCCGUAGUUGUGCUCCUCAGGGUCUUCUGCUAUGUACUAAUCAUUGUCUUUGGACAGCAACAACAUGAUGAGAGCAAGGCAAUCGCAACGACACGACAUAGUGUUGUCAAACCCCGCCUUUCCCUGAAAAAAAAACACGAAAAAAGAUAGAACAUUUCAGCUAUAGCUCCUGCACAAAAUUAUUUGAAAUACUAACAAGUGUCAAAUCCUUAUUCCCAUACUGCACAGGGAAGGGGGGCAGCCCGGUGCAUGUAGGUCCUGCUUGCGCAGGGUCCGAGGAAGGGUCCGACCACUUUGGGUCUAUAGUACGCAACCUUACCCUACAUUUCUGUAAGAGGCUGUUUCCAAGACUUGAACCUGUGACCUCAUGGUCACAAGGCAGCAGUUUUACCACUGCGCCAAGGCUCCCCUUCUAUUCCCAUACUGCACAGCCGC